This 398-nucleotide ribosomal RNA is filed under the name bacterium enrichment culture clone ALO1_GLFRUDD03HBWO1. RNAcentral's name for it is "bacterial SSU rRNA". It matches the Rfam family "Bacterial small subunit ribosomal RNA", at positions 9 to 406 of the family's 1533-position model. The record is from RNAcentral.
GAGUUUGAUCCUGGCUCAGAUUGAACGCUGGCGGCAUGCCUUACACAUGCAAGUCGAACGGCAGCACGGGAGCUUGCUCCUGGUGGCGAGUGGCGAACGGGUGAGUAAUGCAUCGGAACGUAUCCUGGAGUGGGGGAUAACGUAGCGAAAGUUACGCUAAUACCGCAUAUUCUGUGAGCAGGAAAGCGGGGGGACCUUCGGGCCUCGCGCUCUUGGAGCGGCCGAUGUCGGAUUAGCUAGUUGGUGAGGUAAAGGCUCACCAAGGCGACGAUCCGUAGCAGGUCUGAGAGGAUGAUCUGCCACACUGGAACUGAGACACGGUCCAGACUCCUACGGGAGGCAGCAGUGGGGAAUUUUGGACAAUGGGGGCAACCCUGAUCCAGCCAUGCCGCGUGAGU